AUGCCUAAGUAUUUGGGAGGAUUAGGUUUUUGUGACACAGAACUGUUUAAUCUCGCCAUGUUAGCAAAGCAAUGGUGGAGGAUACUACAAGACCCAGAUUCACUUAGUGCAAGAAUCCUAAAAGCUAAAUAUUUCCCCUCAGUUAAUCUUUUGGAUUCGGAGCUAGGGUCCCAACCAUCUCAGGUUUGGCGAUCAGUACAUGCAGGGUUAGAGGUACUUAAACAGGGAUUUUUAGAGAAAAGGCAGGAGCCCGACUUUAUAAAUAAAGCCACCAGGCAGAGUACAUCACCAGCACCCGACACCCAAACAGAGUUUAAACACCAAGGAAGUUAA
Molecule: ribosomal RNA, 333 nt
Filed under: Triticum aestivum (bread wheat)
Lineage: Eukaryota; Viridiplantae; Streptophyta; Magnoliopsida; Poales; Poaceae
Description: partial small subunit ribosomal RNA
Source: RNAcentral